This 604-nucleotide ribosomal RNA is filed under the name Libnetis sp. UPOL A00583. RNAcentral describes it as "partial 16S ribosomal RNA". The stretch from base 378 to 536 matches the Rfam family "Bacterial large subunit ribosomal RNA", at positions 2473 to 2632 of the family's 2925-position model. The record is from RNAcentral. Lineage: Eukaryota; Metazoa; Arthropoda; Insecta; Coleoptera; Lycidae.
CAUGUCUUUUUGAUUAUAAUUUUAAGUCUGAUCUGCUCAAUGAGGAUUUAAAUUGCCGCAGUAUUUUGACUGUGCAAAGGUAGCAUAGUAAUUAGUUUCUUAAUUAGAAGCUUGAAUGAAUGAUUUGACAAGAGAUUGGCUGUCUCUUUUUAAUUUUUGUAGAAUUUUAUUUUUAAGUUAAAAAGCUUAAAUUUUUUUAAAAGACGAGAAGACCCUAUAGAGUUUAAUAUUAGGUUUGUUAAUUAUAUAGAAAUGAUAAUUAUUUUUAUAUAUUUAGUUGGGGUGAUUGGAAGAUAAAUUUAAUUCUUUUAAAAAUGAAUUGAAGGUUAUUAAUUUAGUAGUCUUAUUUUUUAAAGAUUAAAAUAAAUUACCUUAGGGAUAACAGCGUUAUUUUUUUUUAAAGUUCUUAUAUAAAAAAAAGUUUGCGACCUCGAUGUUGGAUUAAAAUUAAUUUUUGGUGAAGAAGCUUAAGGAUUAGGUCUGUUCGACCUUUGAAAUUUUACAUGAUCUGAGUUUAAACCGGUGUGACCCAGGUUGGAUUCUAUCUUUAAUUAUUUAUAGUAUUUUAGUACGAAAGGACCAAAUAUUAGUUAUAUAUUAAUUA